CCUACGGGGUGCAGCAGUGGGAGAUAUUGCACAAUGGGGGGAACCCUGAUGCAGCGACGCCGCGUGGGUGAAGGAGCGUUUCGGCGCGUAAAGCCCUAUCUGCAGGGAAGAAGAAGGACGGUCCCUGACUAAGAAGCCCCGGCUUGCUACGUGCCAGCCGCCGCGGUAAUACGGUGGGGGCAAGCGUUAUCCGGAUUUACUGGGGGUAAAGGGGGCGCAGACGGCUGCGCAAGUUCGGAGUGAAAGCCCGGGGCCCAACCCCAGGACUGCUCUUGGAACUGUGAGGCUGGAGUGCAGGAGGGGGAGGCGGAAUUCCUGGUGUAGCGGUGAAAUGCGU
RNAcentral lists this ribosomal RNA (337 nucleotides) under uncultured bacterium. Its description in RNAcentral is "partial 16S ribosomal RNA". It matches the Rfam family "Bacterial small subunit ribosomal RNA", at positions 338 to 691 of the family's 1533-position model. The record is from RNAcentral.